UACGUAGGGUGCAAGCGUUAAUCGGAAUUACUGGGCGUAAAGGGUUCGUAGGUGGCCCGCUAAGUCAGACGUGAAAUCCCUCAGCUCAACUGGGGAACUGCGUCUGAGACUGGUGGGCUUGAGUGCAGGAGAGGAACGCGGAAUUCCAGGUGUAGCGGUGAAAUGCGUAGAUAUCUGGAGGAACACCGGUGGCGAAGGCGGCGUUCUGGACUGUUACUGACACUGAGGAACGAAAGCCAGGGGAGCAAACGGG
RNAcentral lists this ribosomal RNA (253 nucleotides) under uncultured bacterium. Its description in RNAcentral is "partial 16S ribosomal RNA". It matches the Rfam family "Bacterial small subunit ribosomal RNA", at positions 524 to 776 of the family's 1533-position model. The record is from RNAcentral.